This 970-nucleotide long non-coding RNA is filed under the name Felis catus (domestic cat). Its description in RNAcentral is "lncRNA (ENSFCAG00000043297.2)". The record is from RNAcentral. Lineage: Eukaryota; Metazoa; Chordata; Mammalia; Carnivora; Felidae.
GUUGUAGUCUGGUGACCCAGGCCAUGUGGUCUUGGGGCUGCUUCGUGCUGUGGUUCAGGUUCAGCUGAUACGCAGUGUGUAACUAUGAAAUUCAUACUCUAGGAAGAUAUUUCCACUGCUCAUCAAAUAAUUCCUUACUAAACGGCACGCAAAGCACCGGUUUGUGGUUCCUGCUCAUGGUCCAAGCUAAUCUGCCCGCCUAACCACCCGGGUUGUCGGUGGUUAUCUAUAGGAUGUCUUAGUAGAAUGGUUACCCUCCCUGCUAACUCUGUGUUCCUAUAGGGUCCCAGCACGCUGCACAGGAGACCAGUACUGGUAAGCCAGUGUUUAAAAUGGAGUGGGUGACAUGAUUUCUCAAGCCUGUGUCAAAGGUUCACACUCGAACAAAGCUUAGAUAAUGGCCUCUGAGCAUAUGGAAGCCUCCUAAUUCAUUGGCAACAAGUUCAUAAACUCUGUUGGAUCUGCAGCUGUGAACCUCCAGGACCCAUCCUCUGGGUUCGUCUGCUUGCUACAUACUGUCUUCUUAGAAUCUUUCAGCCCUGUCAUGCUCCUUCCAAAAGCAAGGAUCUCAUCUCAGUUAACUCCUUUGGACCUCAGAGCAAAAGUUACUCCUGGGAAGAUCUCAGACACUUCAGGCUUGGUCAGAUCUCCAUUAUGUGCUUUUAUUGCACCAGGAUUGUGGGUGAUUAUCAGUGUAAUGUCACAUUUCCUUGACGUCCUUAAAAGGAGGCAAAAGCAAGUGUCAUUGGAUAUGUCCCUUGUUACAGUUGCAUGAAAAGAAAAAGAUUCCAUUGAGCCAAAAGAUAGCAGUGAUUCUGUUAGUGAUCAUGAAAGUCGUCCUCCAUAAUAACCUCCCUCACACCAGCCACAAAAGUUUGCAAAGGUAGGUACAGAUUAGUUUAUUUUUUUAUAGUUUGUAUUUUCUUUAUUAUUUUGUAUUAUAUUACAGUGCUGUAAUCAUUUUUAUGUG